UAACUUGCCUUAAACACGUUUCCCUUGUAUGGACCGUUGCACUUUACAACUACAGUUAAAUGUUUUAAUAAGACUUAGAAUCAAAACCCCAGAUAUAACAACGUUUGUGUGUGAAUUGAAUGUUUUUUUUUGUCUAACAUCCGUAAUUAAUUUUCCCCCAUGCAUAUAUGCAUGACAUCAAGACACUCAAACAAUCGUCUUGGCCAUGGCUGAGACUGUCUAUGUGUUUGUCAUCACUCAACACCAGUUUUGCCUUUUUUUUUUUCCUCACUCCAAAAGUGGCAAUCUUGCAUUUCAUUUGUGAAAUAAAGUACAUGUACAUA
Long non-coding RNA from Rhinichthys klamathensis goyatoka, 323 nucleotides. RefSeq lists it as uncharacterized. Lineage: Eukaryota; Metazoa; Chordata; Actinopteri; Cypriniformes; Leuciscidae. The transcript is spliced from 2 exons. The record is from RefSeq and is a predicted model, not a curated record.